Colossoma macropomum (tambaqui) is the source of this 1180-nucleotide long non-coding RNA. RefSeq lists it as uncharacterized. Lineage: Eukaryota; Metazoa; Chordata; Actinopteri; Characiformes; Serrasalmidae. The transcript is spliced from 5 exons. The record is from RefSeq and is a predicted model, not a curated record.
UGUGUGCUGACCACUGCCUGUGCCCAUGACGAUAAGUACUGGAAGUCCCACUGAAGCCGGUCAACACAUGUGGCCUGCCUACACUUCUAGUUUACAAAUGGCACUGAUUCAAUACCAGUAAUGUGAUGACUCCUUGCACACCACUCACAAUAAAUGCAUAGAGAAGAAGAAAGUGCAGGAUGUCUUCUGGCGUAAAGUGCAAGGAGAGGAGAGGCAGGAGAGUCUAACAUGGCGGAGGAAGCACUUCCUAACACGGCAGCAGGGGUUCUCUCUUGGAGCCUGAUGACUCGGCUUUGUCUCUGGACAUCUCCCAUUUCCUGCAGAGCCUGGCUGAUCGGCAAUUACAGGAUGGAGGAUGCAGGAUGGAAUGCGUCAAAUGUUCACAAGGGACGAAAUCACUGAAAUGAUCAUGCACAUCGUAAAGAUUGUGACCACCGUAUCACACAAAAUCAUCGUUCCAAAGCUUACCCUCGCAAUAUGUGCAUCACAAUCAGGGAGUUUGUUGAUUGUCAGAGUUCAUGGAUCAGUGAUGAUAUCAGCUCUGAUCCAGCCUGUAACGUUCCUAGAAUUCCCAGCCUUAUGAAAUUGUCAAGUAUGGCUUUCAAUGGGUCUAUGGAGACCCAAGCUGAAACUUCCAUUCCUACACAAACUCUGAGAAAUGCAUCCUUAUGUACCAAAAUCUUUGUGGACAAGCUUUUACUCCAGCUGGAGUCGUUUACAAAGUCAGAGGUGUCUGAAGAUGACCAGGCGACAUUUAGACGACGCACCCCUGAUUUAUCUUGCACAGCUGAGUUGCUUGUAGACCACAUAAUGGCUCACAUUCAAGAGGUCUCAGCUUCACCUUUUGGAGACAGCAUACCUGCCGUUCCUCUGGAUUUUCAGGUACCGUCUUUCCUUCAAAGCUCCUCUGCUAAGAGCUUCGAGAAAAUCCGGAGUGGGGACACUCGAAACAAGGCAGCUCAGGAAGUGAGUCAAACCUUAGUGAAGUGUUCAGAGAGCUUCCUUGCUAUUUCUCUCCAUUCACUAAGUGCUCACACCAGCCAGACAGAUUCCAGUGUGAAACCAACUCCAUCUGAAUGCUCAACAAAGGCAUUCGCAAUCGUCGAUUCUGUCAUUGAUGGAAUUUGCACGUUUGCAUUCUAGUACAUCAUCCAGUGGUUUGAAGGAGACACAGUCUGAA